AGCGUGGAGACAGGUGGUGCAUGGCUGUCGUCAGCUCGUGUCGUGAGAUGUUGGGUUAGGUCCCGCAACGAGCGCAACCCUCACCCCUUGUUGCCAUCAGGUCAUGCUGGGCACUCUAGGGGAACUGCCCCGGUCAACGGGGAGGAAGGCGGGGAUGACGUCAAGUCAUCAUGCCCCUUACGCCCUGGGCUACACACGUGCUACAAUGGCCGGUACAAAGGGAUGCAACGCCGUGAGGCAGAGCCAAACCCAAAAAGCCGGUCUAAGUUCAGAUUGGAGUCUGCAACUCGACUCCAUGAAGGAGGAAUCGCUAGUAAUCGCGUAUCAGCACGACGCGGUGAAUACGUUCCCGGGCCUUGUACACACCGCCCGUCACACCACGAAAGCCUGCUGUACUCGAAGUCGCUGAG
This 410-nucleotide ribosomal RNA is filed under the name uncultured Methylomirabilota bacterium. Its description in RNAcentral is "bacterial SSU rRNA". It matches the Rfam family "Bacterial small subunit ribosomal RNA", at positions 1025 to 1434 of the family's 1533-position model. Lineage: Bacteria; Methylomirabilota (SeqCode). The record is from RNAcentral.